RNAcentral lists this ribosomal RNA (369 nucleotides) under uncultured organism. RNAcentral describes it as "bacterial SSU rRNA". It matches the Rfam family "Bacterial small subunit ribosomal RNA", at positions 526 to 896 of the family's 1533-position model. The record is from RNAcentral.
CGAAGGAUGCAAGCGUUAUCCGGAUUCAUUGGGUUUAAAGGGUGCGUAGGCGGACUUGUAAGUCAGUGGUGAAAUCUCUCAGCUUAACUGAGAAACUGCCAUUGAUACUGCAGGUCUAGAGUAUAGAUGACGUUGGCGGAAUAUGACAUGUAGUGGUGAAAUACUUAGAUAUGUCAUAGAACACCGAUUGCGAAGGCAGCUAACGAAACUAUAACUGACGCUGAGGCACGAAAGUGCGGGGAUCAAACAGGAUUAGAUACCCUGGUAGUCCGCACCGUAAACGAUGAUUACUCGUUGUUGGCGAUAUGACAGUCAGCGACCAAGCGAAAGCGAUAAGUAACCCACCUGGGGAGUACGCCGGCAACGGUG